Molecule: ribosomal RNA, 497 nt
Filed under: uncultured bacterium
Lineage: Bacteria
Description: partial 16S ribosomal RNA
Rfam family: Bacterial small subunit ribosomal RNA
Source: RNAcentral
GAUGAACGCUGGCGGCGUGCCUAAUACAUGCAAGUCGAGCGAACGGACGAGAAGCUUGCUUCUCUGAUGUUAGCGGCGGACGGGUGAGUAACACGUGGAUAACCUACCUAUAAGACUGGGAUAACUUCGGGAAACCGGAGCUAAUACCGGAUAAUAUUUUGAACCGCAUGGUUCAAAAGUGAAAGACGGUCUUGCUGCACCUUAUAGAUGGAUCCGCGCUGCAUAAGCUAGUUGGUAAGGUAACGGCUUACCAAGGCAACGAUGCAUAGCCGACCUGAGAGGGUGAUCGGCCACACUGGAACUGAGACACGGUCCAGACUCCUACGGGAGGCAGCAGUAGGGAAUCUUCCGCAAUGGGCGAAAGCCUGACGGAGCAACGCCGCGUGAGUGAUGAAGGUCUUCGGAUCGUAAAACUCUGUUAUUAGGGAAGAACAUAUGUGUAAGUAACUGUGCACAUCUUGACGGUACCUAAUCAGAAAGCCACGGCUAACUACGUG